UGGGCAAAGGACAAGACACUGCUGUGAAGGACAAAAAGAACCCUCUUCUCAUCUGGAAAACCCUCUCCUCACCUGGAAAAACCCUCCAAAAAAUGAGCUCAGGCUAAACGGCCAACAGAAAGUAAGCUGCUGCAUGUGUGCUCUCCAUCCCCCCUCUCACCUUGGAUUUCCACAUUAUGAUCAGCAGGCUAUGGAAGGACCAAGCUGCCUGAACCUGAAUUGACAUGCUGAACAGGAGGAAUCUAAUGACCAGCCCCUGGAUCGCCACAAAGGUCGGGACCACAAGUUCUCACCCAAAGCGCUGAGGGGUCCAUCGUGGUCAGGGUGAUUGCUGCUUAUCUUUGAUGUUCGCUGUAGGCACUUAAAAGACCAGCGGACCCUGAACGCGUCAGAGCCCUUGAAUUAACGGUUAGCACGGAGCAGUGCAGAGCCUCCUCGUCUAUGGUGUAACACAACUAUCAAAAAGAUGUGUGCAUAAUUUUAACCAUUUGUAUUCGUAAU
Long non-coding RNA from Epinephelus lanceolatus (giant grouper), 501 nucleotides. RefSeq lists it as uncharacterized. The record is from RefSeq and is a predicted model, not a curated record. Lineage: Eukaryota; Metazoa; Chordata; Actinopteri; Perciformes; Serranidae.